Gorilla gorilla gorilla (western lowland gorilla) is the source of this 109-nucleotide ribosomal RNA. The record is from Ensembl. NCBI's taxonomy places the organism in Eukaryota, Metazoa, Chordata, Mammalia, Primates, Hominidae.
GUCUAAGGCCAUACCACCCUGAACACACCUGAUCUCAGAAGUUAAGCAGGGUUGGGCCUGUCUAGUACUUGGAUGGGAGACUGCCUGGGAAUAUCAGGUGCUGUGACCU